Molecule: non-coding RNA, 196 nt
Filed under: Pontibacillus litoralis
Lineage: Bacteria; Bacillati; Bacillota; Bacilli; Caryophanales; Bacillaceae
Also listed under: 1 other name
Source: RNAcentral
GAAUAAUCUGUAAAAACAGGUGUAGACAUAAAUUUGCUUGUCUGCUUAAAAGGGAAGUCGGUUUAAAUCCGACACUGUCCCGCAACUGUAUUUGGGAGCAAUCAAUAAAACCACUGUUUUCCAGCGUAGGAAAAUGGGAAGGAAUUGAUUUGCGUUGACCAUAAGUCAGGAGACCUGCCUGUUUUAGCAAGCAUCA